Molecule: ribosomal RNA, 390 nt
Filed under: Triticum aestivum (bread wheat)
Lineage: Eukaryota; Viridiplantae; Streptophyta; Magnoliopsida; Poales; Poaceae
Description: partial small subunit ribosomal RNA
Source: RNAcentral
AUGCGCGGGGGGAGUGGGGGAGACGCGGCCCCCGCCGAGGCUUGCGGCAGCGAGUGGCGGUGGCGGGAUGUGCGGCGAGAGGUUGCGGGGAGCAGAGGGCAGAGCACACUAUCCAGGAACAUGGAUCGAUGUGUCUGUACAUUGGUAGAUGUAGUAAAUCGUGUUUCCCUGAAGGUGAUGAAGAAAGAGGGGGCGAGAUCUACAUCAAUGGUUGCUGGCAGGCCGGGGCCCACCGCCGCCGCACGUCAGGCAAACUCUUUGCCGCCGUCUGGUGGUGCCACACCAUCACGAACUCCCGCCGGCGCUGAAUGGCACAGCAGCAGGACAUGGACCUCGACGGUGCCGAGCGCUUCGUUGGAGGAUCCGUGGAGGUCGGCUUAUUCUUUCUAG